AGACCAUAAUGAGGGCAUCGCCUAAGCAAGCCCUUGUAUCUUUCCCAAGCCUCGUACAAUGAUUCAGAAUCUAACUGCACGAAUGGUGUGAUAUCAUUCCUCAUUUU
RNAcentral lists this small nucleolar RNA (107 nucleotides) under Theobroma cacao (cacao). RNAcentral's name for it is "Plant small nucleolar RNA R71". It matches the Rfam family "Plant small nucleolar RNA R71". Rfam says of the family: R71 is a member of the C/D box family of snoRNAs containing the C (UGAUGA) and D (CUGA) box motifs. Lineage: Eukaryota; Viridiplantae; Streptophyta; Magnoliopsida; Malvales; Malvaceae. The record is from Rfam by way of RNAcentral.